AGAGUUUGAUCAUGGCUCAGAACGAACGCUGGCGGCGUGCCUAACACAUGCAAGUCGAACGCGAAAGUCCUUCGGGAUGAGUAAAGUGGCGCACGGGUGAGUAACACGUAGGUGACCUGCCUUUUAGAGGGGAAUAACCAGAAGAAAUUUUGGCUAAUGCCGCAUACGAAGUACAAAUCUAAGAGUAGUACUUGAAAGGAUGCCUCUGUAUAUGCAUCCACUAAAAGAUGGGCCUGCGGUACAUUAGCUAGUUGGUGGGGUAAAGGCCUACCAAGGCAACGAUGUAUAUCCGGUCUGAGAGGAUGAUCGGACACACUGGAACUGAGACACGGUCCAGACUCCUACGGGAGGCAGCAGUGGGGAAUAUUGCGCAAUGGGGGAAACCCUGACGCAGCAACGCCGCGUGAGUGAGGAAGGACUUCGGUCUGUAAAGCUCUGUUAAUGUGGAAAAAUGGUAGUUGGUCUAAUAGGCCGAUUAUUUGAUGGUACACAUAGAGGAAGCACCGGCUAACUUCGUGCCAGCAGCCGCGGUAAUACGAAGGGUGCAAGCGUUGUUCGGAUUUAUUGGGCGUAAAGCGCGCGUAGGCGGACCUGUAAGUCAGAUGUGAAAUCUCGGGGCUCAACCCCGAAACUGCGUCUGAAACUGCAGGUCUAGAAUCUUGGAGGGGGAAGGGGAAUUUCGCAUGUAGGGGUAAAAUCCGUAGAUAUGCGAAGGAACACCAGAGGCGAAGGCGCCUUCCUGGACAAGUAUUGACGCUGAGGCGCGAAAGCGUGGGGAUCAAACAGGAUUAGAUACCCUCGUAGUCC
This 807-nucleotide ribosomal RNA is filed under the name uncultured bacterium. RNAcentral describes it as "bacterial SSU rRNA". It matches the Rfam family "Bacterial small subunit ribosomal RNA", at positions 8 to 796 of the family's 1533-position model. The record is from RNAcentral.